CCCUUAGAUGUCCUGGGCUGCACGCGCGCUACACUGAAACUAGCAAAAAGUAUUCUCUGGUUUGAAAAAAUUGGGAAAACUAUUAAACAGUUUCGUGAUGGGAAUAGACUAUUGUAAUUAUUAGUCUUGAACGAGGAAUUCCUAGUAAGUACAAGUCAUCAGCUUGUGCUGAUUACGUCCCUGCCCUUUGUACACACCGCCCGUCGCUCCUACCGAUUGGGUGAUCCGGUGAAUAAUCUGGAGAUUAACAUCAAAAGUUUGUAAACCUUAUCACCUAGAGGAAGGAGAAGUCGUAACA
Molecule: ribosomal RNA, 298 nt
Filed under: uncultured eukaryote
Lineage: Eukaryota
Description: partial 18S ribosomal RNA
Rfam family: Eukaryotic small subunit ribosomal RNA
Source: RNAcentral